Small nuclear RNA from Lolium rigidum, 188 nucleotides. RefSeq annotates it as U2 spliceosomal RNA. The transcript has a single exon. The record is from RefSeq and is a predicted model, not a curated record. NCBI's taxonomy places the organism in Eukaryota, Viridiplantae, Streptophyta, Magnoliopsida, Poales, Poaceae.
AUACCUUUCUUGGCCUCUGGCUAAGAUCAAGUGUAGUAUCUGUUCUUAUCAGUUUAAUAUCUGAUAUUGUAGCCUACGGGUGCAUGAUAUUAAAUUAAUCUUUUGUGGGGGAGUUCUCAGCAGCUUGCCGCUGGGUUUCUCAAGCGUCGACAUUGCGUUGCACCACAGCUCUGGCCAGCGCACCCCAA